UACGUAGGUGGCAAGCGUUGUCCGGAUUUAUUGGGUUUAAAGGGUGCGUAGGCGGUCCCAUAAGUCAGUGCUGAAAUAUCCCGGCUUAACCGGGAGGGUGGCAUUGAUACUGUGGGACUUGAGUAAAGUUGAGGUUGGCGGAAUUGACGGUGUAGCGGUGAAAUGCUUAGAUAUCGUCAAGAACACCGAUUGCGAAGGCAGCUAACUAAGCUUUAACUGACGCUGAGGCACGAAAGUGUGGGGAUCAAACAGG
Molecule: ribosomal RNA, 253 nt
Filed under: uncultured bacterium
Lineage: Bacteria
Description: partial 16S ribosomal RNA
Rfam family: Bacterial small subunit ribosomal RNA
Source: RNAcentral